This 660-nucleotide unclassified non-coding RNA is filed under the name uncultured Prochlorococcus sp. RNAcentral describes it as "partial may contain 16S ribosomal RNA, 16S-23S ribosomal RNA intergenic spacer, and 23S ribosomal RNA". The stretch from base 295 to 367 matches the Rfam family "tRNA". The record is from RNAcentral. Lineage: Bacteria; Bacillati; Cyanobacteriota; Cyanophyceae; Synechococcales; Prochlorococcaceae.
GGACGCCGAAGGUGGGGCUAAUGACUGGGGUGAAGUCGUAACAAGGUAGCCGUACCGGAAGGUGCGGCUGGAUCACCUCCUAACAGGGAGACAACAAAAUGUUUAAUAUUAUUAUUUUGUCACCUUAGGUCGAUCGGUAUCUCACGUUCUUAAUUUAUUAAGAAUUUCAUUUCCUAAGUUUUUCUAGGUCACACCCAUUAUUUUUCCUGGGCCAUUAGCUCAGGUGGUUAGAGCGCACCCCUGAUAAGGGUGAGGUCCCUGGUUCAAGUCCAGGAUGGCCCAUAUCUCUAUGUUGGGGGUAUAGCUCAGUUGGUAGAGCGCCUGCUUUGCAAGCAGGAUGUCAGCGGUUCGAGUCCGCUUACCUCCACUGAUUACCACCUCUUCCAUAACCGGUAGAAAGGAAAUUUUUUGAGUUGUGAUCAAAUCCUGAAAGAAUCUAGCUUCCUAAUGAAAUCAUUAAGAUGCUGGACUCAUUGAAUUAAUUUCAUUGUUUUCAGAGAACCUUGACAACUGCAUAGAUUAUUUUUAAAGACAAUAAGCAUCUUUAAUGAUGCAGAUUUAUUAUUUGUGCGAAUGCAUUAAUAACAAUUCUAUUAAGCUGAUGCUUCAAUUUUGAAGUUAUUGGUCAAGCUACAAAGGGCUCACGGAGGAUACCUAGGC